UACAGAGGUCUCAAGCGUUGUUCGGAUUCAUUGGGCGUAAAGGGCGCGUAGGCGGCGGGGCAAGUCGGGUGUGAAAUCUCAGGGCUCAACCCUGAAACUGCACUCGAUACUGCUCUGCUUGAGGACUGGAGAGGAGACUGGAAUUUACGGUGUAGCGGUGAAAUGCGUAGAUAUCGUAAGGAAGACCAGUGGCGAAGGCGGGUCUCUGGACAGUUCCUGACGCUGAGGCACGAAGGUCAGGGGAGCAAACGGG
RNAcentral lists this ribosomal RNA (253 nucleotides) under uncultured bacterium. RNAcentral's name for it is "partial 16S ribosomal RNA". It matches the Rfam family "Bacterial small subunit ribosomal RNA", at positions 524 to 776 of the family's 1533-position model. The record is from RNAcentral.